GAUGAACGCUGGCGGCGUGCCUAACACAUGCAAGUCGAACGGGUCUUAUAUAGUGGCGGCAUCAGUCAAAGCAGUAUAAGUACUAGUGGCGGACGGGUGAGUAACGCGUGGGCAACCUGCCCUUUGCUCCGGGAUAACUGUGAGAAAUCACAGCUAAUACGGGAUAAGCCUACAGUAUCGCAUGGUACAGUAGGAAAAGAUUUAUCGGCAAAGGAGGGGCCCGCGUCUGAUUAGCUGGUUGGUGGGGUAACGGCCUACCAAGGCGACGAUCAGUAGCCGGCCUGAGAGGGUGAACGGCCACAUUGGGACUGAGACACGGCCCAAACUCCUACGGGAGGCAGCAGUGGGGAAUAUUGCACAAUGGGGGAAACCCUGAUGCAGCAACGCCGCGUGAAGGAAGAAGGGUUUCGGCUCGUAAACUUCUAUCAACGGGGAAGAAAGAAAUGACGGUACCCGAAUAAGAAGCACCGGCUAACUACGUGCCAGCCGCCGCCGUAAAAC
RNAcentral lists this ribosomal RNA (501 nucleotides) under uncultured bacterium. Its description in RNAcentral is "bacterial SSU rRNA". It matches the Rfam family "Bacterial small subunit ribosomal RNA", at positions 28 to 526 of the family's 1533-position model. The record is from RNAcentral.